ACCUGGCUAGCGCAGUUGGUAGCGCAUGGGACUCGAUCUCAGGCUUGUGGGUUUGAGCCCCAUGCUGGGCA
Molecule: non-coding RNA, 71 nt
Organism: Pangasianodon gigas (Mekong giant catfish)
Lineage: Eukaryota; Metazoa; Chordata; Actinopteri; Siluriformes; Pangasiidae
Source: the annotation of a GenBank genome assembly